AUACGUAGAGUGCAAGCGUUGUCCGGAAUUAUUGGGCGUAAAGGGUACGCAGGCGGAUAGUAAAGUCAAAUGUGAAAGGUGUCGGCUUAACCGACAGAUUGCGUUUGAAACUUACUAUCUUGAGUGUAACAGAGGAGAGCGGAAUUCCUAGUGUAGUGGUGAAAUACGUAGAUAUUAGGAAGAACACCAGUGGCGAAGGCGGCUCUCUGGGUUACAACUGACGCUGAGGUACGAAAGCUGGGGGAGCGAACGGGAUUAGAUACCCCGGUAGUCCCAGCCGUAAACGAUGGAUACUAGGUGUUGGAGGUUCGAUUCCUUCGGUGCCGGAGUUAACGCAUUAAGUAUCCCGCCUGGGGAUUACGGUCGCAAGACUGAA
Molecule: ribosomal RNA, 376 nt
Filed under: uncultured bacterium
Lineage: Bacteria
Description: bacterial SSU rRNA
Rfam family: Bacterial small subunit ribosomal RNA
Source: RNAcentral